This 703-nucleotide ribosomal RNA is filed under the name uncultured fungus. Its description in RNAcentral is "LSU rRNA". It matches the Rfam family "Eukaryotic large subunit ribosomal RNA", at positions 61 to 781 of the family's 3401-position model. Lineage: Eukaryota; Fungi. The record is from RNAcentral.
AAAACACGGGAUUGCCUCAGUAACUGCGAGUGAAGCGACAAAAGCUCAAAUUUGAAAUCUGGCGUCCUCUGGGCGUCCGAGUUGUAAUUUGGAGGAGCGUCUUCGGGAGCGGCACUGUCCUAAGUUCUUUGGAACAGGACGUCAUAGAGGGUGAGAAUCCCGUGCCUGGGCGGUUGCCCGUUCCCAUGUGAAGUGCUUCCGACGAGUCGAGUUGUUUGGGAAUGCAGCUCAAAAUGGGUGGUAAAUUUCAUCUAAAGCUAAAUAUUGGCGAGAGACCGAUAGCGCACAAGUAGAGUGAUCGAAAGAUGAAAAGCACUUUGAAAAGAGAGUUAAAAAGUACGUGAAAUUGUUGAAAGGGAAGCGCUUGAGAUCAAACUCGGCCUUUGGUGAUCCACUGGGCUUCUGUCCGGUGAAACUUUGCCAUUGGCCGGGCCAGCAUCGGUUCUGACGGUGGGAAAAACGGCCGGGGAAUGUGGCUCCUCUCGGGGAGUGUUAUAGACCUGGCCUUAGAUACCGCCAGUUGGGACCGAGGACCGCGCUUCGGCUAGGAUGCUGGCGUAAUGGUCUUAAGCGACCCGUCUUGAAACACGGACCAAGGAGUCUAACAUCUAUGCGAGUGUUCGGGUGGAAAACCCUUGCGCGUAAUGAAAGUGAACGGAGGUGGGAACCGCAAGGUGCACCAUCGACCGAUCCUGAUGUCUUC